AUGGAGAAGGGUGUAGAAGGGUAUACCCAGUUGUUAACAUUGCAAUUUUUUUUUUCUGGGGAGUAUGAAAUAGAGAGAACGACAGAAAUUCCUGCCGUCGAAGAGUUGGAAACUCAGCGUCGCUGGCAGCCGCUGUACUUGGAAAUUCGAAAUGAGUCCCAUGACUAUCCUCAUAGAGUGGCCAAGUUUCCAGAAAACAGAUUUCGAAACAGAUACAGAGAUCUAAGCCCAUAUGAUCACAGUCGUGUUAAACUGCAAAAUGCUGAGAAUGAUUAUAUUAAUGCCAGUUUAGUUGACUUAGAAGAGGCACAAAGGAGUUACAUCUUAACACAGGGUCCACUUCCUAACACAUGCUGCCAUUUCUGGCUUAUGGUUUGGCAGCAGAAGACCAAAGCAGUUGUCAUGCUGAACCGCAUUGUGGAGAAAGAAUCGGUUAAAUGUGCACAGUACUGGCCAACAGAUGACCAAGAGAUGCUGUUUAAAGAAACAGGAUUCAGUGUGAAGCUCUUGUCAGAAGAUGUGAAGUUGUAUUAUACAGUACCUCUACUACAAUUAGAAAAUAUCAAUAGUGGUGAAACCAGAACAAUAUCUCACUUUCAUUAUACCACCUGGCCAGAUUUUGGAGUCCCUGAAUCACCAGCUUCAUUUCUCAAUUUCUUGUUUAAAGUGAGAGAAUCUGGCUCCUUGAACCCUGACCAUGGGCCUGCGGUGAUCCACUGUAGUGCAGGCAUUGGGCGCUCUGGCACCUUCUCUCUGGUAGACACUUGUCUUGUUUUGAUGGAAAAAGGAGAUGAUAUUAACAUUAAACAAGUGUUAUUGAACAUGAGAAAAUACCGAAUGGGUCUUAUUCAGACCCCAGAUCAACUGAGAUUCUCAUACAUGGCUAUAAUAGAAGGAGCAAAAUGUAUAAAGGGAGAUUCUGGUAUACAGAAACGAUGGAAAGAACUUUCUAAGGAACACUUAUCUCCUGCCUUUGAUCAUUCACCAAACAAAAUAAUGACUGAAAAAUACAAUGGGAAGAGAAUAGGUCUAGAAAAAGAAAAACUGACAGGUGACCAACGUACAGGACCUUCCUCUAAAAUGCAAGAUACAGUGGAGGAGAACAGUGAGAGUGCUCUACGGAAACGUAUUCGAGAGGACAGAAAGGCCACCACAGCUCAGAAGGUGCAGCAGAUGAAACAGAGGCUAAAUGAGAAUGAACGAAAAAGAAAAAGGCCAAGAUUGACAGACACCUAAUAUUCAUGACUUGAGAAUAUUCUGCAGCUAUAAAUUUUGAACCAUUGAUGUGCAAAGCAAGACCUGAAGCCCACUCUGGAAACUAAAGUGAGGCUCGCCAACCCUCUAGAUUGCCUCACAGUUGUUUGUUUACAAAGUAAACUUUACAUCCAGGGGAUGAAGAGCACCCACCAGCAGAAGACUUUGCAGAACCUUUAAUUGGAUGUGUUAAGUGUUUUUAAUGAGUGUAUGAAAUGUAGAAAGAUGUACAAGAAAUAAAUUAGGAGAGAUUACUUUGUAUUGUACUGCCAUUCCUACUGUAUUUUUAUACUACUUUUUGGCAGCAUUAAAUAUUUUUGUUAAAU
This is an RNA transcript of Nomascus leucogenys (northern white-cheeked gibbon), 1580 nucleotides long. It is a transcript of the gene named tyrosine-protein phosphatase non-receptor type 2 pseudogene, with no coding region annotated. Lineage: Eukaryota; Metazoa; Chordata; Mammalia; Primates; Hylobatidae. The transcript has 2 exons. The record is from RefSeq and is a predicted model, not a curated record.